Molecule: ribosomal RNA, 89 nt
Filed under: uncultured bacterium
Lineage: Bacteria
Description: partial 16S ribosomal RNA
Source: RNAcentral
CCACAUCAUGAAAGCCGCUUGUACCCGAAGUCGCUGUGCCAACUCGCAAGAGAGGCAGGUGCCGAAGGUAUGGGUGGGUGAUUGGGAUG